This 620-nucleotide ribosomal RNA is filed under the name uncultured Pseudonocardia sp. RNAcentral describes it as "bacterial SSU rRNA". It matches the Rfam family "Bacterial small subunit ribosomal RNA", at positions 434 to 1066 of the family's 1533-position model. The record is from RNAcentral. Lineage: Bacteria; Bacillati; Actinomycetota; Actinomycetes; Pseudonocardiales; Pseudonocardiaceae.
UUCGACCGGGACGAAGGGUGACUGACGGUACCGGUAGAAGAAGCACCGGCCAACUACGUGCCAGCAGCCGCGGUAAUACGUAGGGUGCGAGCGUUGUCCGGAAUUAUUGGGCGUAAAGAGCUCGUAGGCGGUGUGUCACGUCGGUCGUGAAAACUUGGGGCUCAACCCUGAGCAUGCGGUCGAUACGGGCAUCACUUGAGUUCGGCAGGGGAGACUGGAAUUCCUGGUGUAGCGGUGAAAUGCGCAGAUAUCAGGAGGAACACCGGUGGCGAAGGCGGGUCUCUGGGCCGAUACUGACGCUGAGGAGCGAAAGCGUGGGGAGCGAACAGGAUUAGAUACCCUGGUAGUCCACGCCGUAAACGGUGGGCACUAGGUGUGGGGGCCAUUCCACGGUCUCUGUGCCGCAGCUAACGCAUUAAGUGCCCCGCCUGGGGAGUACGGCCGCAAGGCUAAAACUCAAAGGAAUUGACGGGGGCCCGCACAAGCGGCGGAGCAUGUGGAUUAAUUCGAUGCAACGCGAAGAACCUUACCUGGGUUUGACAUGCACUAGACGCGUCUAGAGAUAGGCGUUCCCUUGUGGCUGGUGUGCAGGUGGUGCAUGGCUGUCGUCAGCUCGUGUC